This is a long non-coding RNA of Triticum aestivum (bread wheat), 416 nucleotides long. RefSeq lists it as uncharacterized. Lineage: Eukaryota; Viridiplantae; Streptophyta; Magnoliopsida; Poales; Poaceae. The transcript has 2 exons. The record is from RefSeq and is a predicted model, not a curated record.
GAACAAGCAACGGAACCUUGUAUAUGAGGAUCCUCAUCAAUCCGAGAGCCCCAGCGAGGCUGCAGUCCGUCCACUGCACCAGGAAGAGGAAUAUGUGCGCGGCGGGGCUAAACGACAGCCGCAUCUGCAGGCACGCCCCAUCGUACUCCCGCGGAAAUUCAGUCGCCCUGCACGUCAGAUAGAUCACUUGAGAUCAAUGCAAGGGUUCAACGGCGACGACUGCGGCUACAGGGCAUUGGUCCUUAGGGGCACGUGCACGAAGACUUCCUGACUGUCAUUGCAAGGUCAAGUCGGCCCUGGUAGUGGAGCAGCGAUAGUGGCGCGUCAGCAGCUCGUUCUGAUGGCAAUAGUGACCAUCCAUGGUUUCGGAAUCUCAAUGUAAUUUUUAUUAUAUUUAAGAUGCUUUAUACUUUCGA